UACGAAGGGGGGCUAGCGUUGCUCGGAAUUACUGGGCGUAAAGGGCGCGUAGGCGGGGUCGUUAAGUUUGGGGGGGUGAAAGCCCCAGGGCUCAACCCCUGGAAUUGCCUUCAAUACUGGCGACCUUGAGUAUGGCAGAGGUGUGUGGAACUCCGAGUGUAGAGGUGAAAUUCGUAGAUAUUCGGAAGAACACCAGUGGCGAAGGCGACACACUGGGCCAUUACUGACGC
This 230-nucleotide ribosomal RNA is filed under the name uncultured bacterium. RNAcentral's name for it is "partial 16S ribosomal RNA". It matches the Rfam family "Bacterial small subunit ribosomal RNA", at positions 524 to 746 of the family's 1533-position model. The record is from RNAcentral.